GUACUGCUGAAGAGUCCCAAACUAGGACGGAGGAAACAGCUAUCCAGUAC
Non-coding RNA from Trichobilharzia regenti, 50 nucleotides. The record is from Rfam. Lineage: Eukaryota; Metazoa; Platyhelminthes; Trematoda; Strigeidida; Schistosomatidae.